Molecule: transfer RNA, 72 nt
Filed under: Ictidomys tridecemlineatus (thirteen-lined ground squirrel)
Lineage: Eukaryota; Metazoa; Chordata; Mammalia; Rodentia; Sciuridae
Description: Spermophilus tridecemlineatus (thirteen-lined ground squirrel) tRNA
Rfam family: tRNA
About the family: Transfer RNA (tRNA) molecules are approximately 80 nucleotides in length. Their secondary structure includes four short double-helical elements and three loops (D, anti-codon, and T loops).
Source: Rfam by way of RNAcentral
GGGGGUAUAUCUCAGUGGUAGAGUGCUUGUCUAGCAUGCAUGAAGCCUUGGGUUCAAUUCCCAAUAUUCACC